RNAcentral lists this ribosomal RNA (253 nucleotides) under uncultured bacterium. RNAcentral describes it as "partial 16S ribosomal RNA". It matches the Rfam family "Bacterial small subunit ribosomal RNA", at positions 524 to 776 of the family's 1533-position model. The record is from RNAcentral.
UACAGAGGGUGCAAGCGUUAAUCGGAAUUACUGGGCGUAAAGCGUGCGUAGGUGGUUUGUUAAGUCUGAUGUGAAAGCCCUGGGCUCAACCUGGGAAUUGCAUUGGAUACUGGCAGGCUAGAGUGCGGUAGAGGAUGGCGGAAUUCCCGGUGUAGCAGUGAAAUGCGUAGAGAUCGGGAGGAACAUCUGUGGCGAAGGCGGCCAUCUGGACCAGCACUGACACUGAGGCACGAAAGCGUGGGGAGCAAACAGG